GGCCUUGUAUUCAUUUUGUGAUUACAGAAUGCAAUUCUGUAGGGGUAGGUAUUUAACUAUCAAGGCCU
RNAcentral lists this transfer RNA (68 nucleotides) under Schedorhinotermes sp. 10 MW-2019. RNAcentral's name for it is "tRNA-Cys". The record is from RNAcentral. RNAcentral also lists the same sequence under 1 other name. Lineage: Eukaryota; Metazoa; Arthropoda; Insecta; Blattodea; Rhinotermitidae.